ACCUAUGGCCAUGCCACCCUGAACAAGCCCAAACCUGUCUGAUCUCUGAAGCUAAGCAGAGUUGGACUUGGUUAGUACUUGGAUGGGAGAUCUCCUAGGAAGACCAGGUGCUGUAGGCU
Ribosomal RNA from Pteropus vampyrus (large flying fox), 119 nucleotides. Lineage: Eukaryota; Metazoa; Chordata; Mammalia; Chiroptera; Pteropodidae. The record is from Ensembl.